GGGAGGUGGAAGCACAGCAAAAUGCAAAUUUGAAGAAGCACCCAUUAAGGUGCCCCGGCU
This 60-nucleotide transfer RNA is filed under the name Lygodactylus nyaneka. Its description in RNAcentral is "tRNA-Cys". Lineage: Eukaryota; Metazoa; Chordata; Lepidosauria; Squamata; Gekkonidae. The record is from RNAcentral.